CAGAUUAGCCAUGCAUGUCUAAGUAUAAAUUCUUGUACGAUGAAACUGCAGACGGCUCAUUACAACAGUGAUAAACUGCUAGACUUUCGGGUUUUUAACCUUUUGGAUAACCGCAGUAAAUCGGGGCUAAUACAUAGAAGCGAUGGGUGACUGGCAACGGAAGCUCAGCGAUUAUUAGCGUUACUACCAAUACCUUCGGGUCUUGUGGUGAAACCGAAUAAUAUUGCAGAUCGAGGAUUUAUCUUCGACAAGUCUACUGUGUCACUGCCCUAUCAACUUUCGAUGGUACGGUAUUGGCCUACCAUGGUUGUAACGGGUAACGGGGAAUUAGGGUUCGAUUCCGGAGAGGGAGCCUGAGAAAUGGCUACCACUUCUACGGAAGGCAGCAGGCGCGCAAAUUACUCAAUCCCAAUACGGGGAAGUAGUGACAAUAAAUAUCAAUACCUAUCCUUUUUGGAGGGCAAUUGAAAUGAACACAAAUUAAAACUCUUAAUUAACACAAUUGGAGGGCAAGUCUGGUGCCAGCAGCCGCGGUAAUUCCAGCUCCAAUAGCAUAUACUAAAGUUGUUGCAGUUAAAAAGCUCGUAGUUGAAGUUAAAGUUAUAUUGGGCUCAAGUUUUUUACCACUCUGGUGGCUAAAACAACUCCAAUAUUUCUUUUUUUAAUAGCUCAGUUUCUAGGUCUUUGACUCUAGUUAUUUGGGCAUUUCACUGUGAGAAAAUUGUGGUGUUUAAAGCAGGCGUCUCGUCUGAUCUUUUGCAGCAUGGUAUGAUGAAACAUGACAUUUUACG
RNAcentral lists this ribosomal RNA (791 nucleotides) under Dictyostelium sp. RNAcentral describes it as "SSU rRNA". It matches the Rfam family "Eukaryotic small subunit ribosomal RNA", at positions 40 to 836 of the family's 1831-position model. The record is from RNAcentral. Lineage: Eukaryota; Evosea; Eumycetozoa; Dictyosteliales; Dictyosteliaceae.